GGAUAGCUCAAUUGGUUAGAGCAUGGUGCUGAUAACACCAGGGUUGCACAGGGUUCGAUCCCCAUAUGAGACA
This is a non-coding RNA of Podarcis lilfordi (Lilford's wall lizard), 73 nucleotides long. The record is from the annotation of a GenBank genome assembly. NCBI's taxonomy places the organism in Eukaryota, Metazoa, Chordata, Lepidosauria, Squamata, Lacertidae.